This 611-nucleotide ribosomal RNA is filed under the name uncultured bacterium. Its description in RNAcentral is "bacterial SSU rRNA". The stretch from base 1 to 542 matches the Rfam family "Bacterial small subunit ribosomal RNA", at positions 338 to 873 of the family's 1533-position model. The record is from RNAcentral.
CCUACGGGAGGCAGCAGUGGGGAAUUUUGGACAAUGGGCGCAAGCCUGAUCCAGCCAUGCCGCGUGAGUGAAGAAGGCCUUCGGGUUGUAAAGCUCUUUCGGCGGGGAAGAAAAGGUACGUGCUAAUACCACGGACUAAUGACGGUACCCGAAGAAGAAGCACCGGCUAACUACGUGCCAGCAGCCGCGGUAAUACGUAGGGUGCAGGCGUUAAUCGGAAUUACUGGGCGUAAAGCGUGCGCAGGCGGUUUGUUAAGACAGAUGUGAAAUCCCCGGGCUUAACCUGGGAACUGCGUUUGUUACUGGCAAGCUAGAGUGUGGCAGAGGGGGGUAGAAUUCCAGGUGUAGCAGUGAAAUGCGUAGAUAUCUGGAGGAAUACCGAUGGCGAAGGCAGCCCCCUGGGCUAACACUGACGCUCAUGCACGAAAGCGUGGGGAGCAAACAGGAUUAGAUACCCUGGUAGUCCACGCCCUAAACUAUGUCAACUGGUUGUCGGGGAAGCAAUUCCUUGGUAACGAAGCUAACGCGUGAAGUUGACCGCCUGGGGAGACGCGCGAGUAAACGUACAAGAAGUAGAGNGNGAGAGNGCGACGACGACGACGAGGGAGAGG